Molecule: ribosomal RNA, 421 nt
Filed under: uncultured bacterium
Lineage: Bacteria
Description: bacterial SSU rRNA
Rfam family: Bacterial small subunit ribosomal RNA
Source: RNAcentral
CGAGGAAUAUUGGGCAAUGCCCGAAAGGGUGACCCAGCAACGCCGCGUGGAGGAUGAAGGUCGUAAGAUUGUAAACUCCUGUUAGAGGGGAAGAAUAACUAAGUUUGGAGCUUAGUAUGACUGUACCCUCAGAGAAAGCCCCGGCUAACUACGUGCCAGCAGCCGCGGUAAUACGUAGGGGGCAAGCGUUGUCCGGAUUUACUGGGUGUAAAGGGCGCGCAGGCGGAAUGGAAAGUCAGUGGUGAAAUCCUACAGCUUAACUGUAGAACUGCCUUUGAUACUUUCAUUCUUGAGUUCGGGAGAGAGAGACGGAAUUCCAGGUGUAGUGGUGAAAUACGUAGAUAUCUGGAAGAACACCAGUUGCGAAGGCGGUCUCUUGGUCCGAUACUGACGCUGAGGCGCGAAAGCGUGGGGAGCAAAC